AAUAAGUACAGUUUUGCACUGUUCAUGUUUAACUUUUGACCGUUCGUCUUAUUUAAAAUUUUUUUAUGAUUAGUAUUUUUGUUGUUAUUAGAUGAUAAAAUAUGAACAGUACUUUAUGUGUCACUAAUUUUUUUCAAAUUUUUCAUAAAUUUUUUAAAUAAGACGAACAGUCGAACGUCUGACAAGGUUCCCCACGACUGCACUUAUU
MicroRNA precursor from Oryza sativa Japonica Group (Japanese rice), 208 nucleotides. It matches the Rfam family "MIR812 microRNA precursor family". The record is from Rfam. Lineage: Eukaryota; Viridiplantae; Streptophyta; Magnoliopsida; Poales; Poaceae.